RNAcentral lists this ribosomal RNA (342 nucleotides) under uncultured Alphaproteobacteria bacterium. Its description in RNAcentral is "bacterial SSU rRNA". It matches the Rfam family "Bacterial small subunit ribosomal RNA", at positions 9 to 379 of the family's 1533-position model. Lineage: Bacteria; Pseudomonadati; Pseudomonadota; Alphaproteobacteria. The record is from RNAcentral.
GAGUUUGAUCUUGGCUCAGAAUGAACGCUGGCGGCAUGCCUAACACAUGCAAGUCGAACGAAGGCUUCGGCCUUAGUGGCGCACGGGUGCGUAACGCGUGGGAAUCUGCCCUUUGCUUCGGAAUAACAGUGGGAAACUACUGCUAAUACCGGAUGAUGUCUUCGGACCAAAGAUUUAUCGGCAAGGGAUGAGCCCGCGUAGGAUUAGGUAGUUGGUGGGGUAAAGGCCUACCAAGCCGACGAUCCUUAGCUGGUCUGAGAGGAUGAUCAGCCACACUGGGACUGAGACACGGCCCAGACUCCUACGGGAGGCAGCAGUGGGGAAUAUUGGACAAUGGGGGAA